Transfer RNA from Oryctes borbonicus, 73 nucleotides. It matches the Rfam family "tRNA". Rfam says of the family: Transfer RNA (tRNA) molecules are approximately 80 nucleotides in length. Their secondary structure includes four short double-helical elements and three loops (D, anti-codon, and T loops). Lineage: Eukaryota; Metazoa; Arthropoda; Insecta; Coleoptera; Scarabaeidae. The record is from Rfam.
GCCUCAGUAGCGCAGUAGGCAGCGCGUAAGUCUCAUAAUCUUAAGGUCGUGAGUUCGAUCCUCACCUGGGGCA